This 384-nucleotide ribosomal RNA is filed under the name uncultured Staphylococcus sp. RNAcentral describes it as "bacterial SSU rRNA". It matches the Rfam family "Bacterial small subunit ribosomal RNA", at positions 73 to 449 of the family's 1533-position model. Lineage: Bacteria; Bacillati; Bacillota; Bacilli; Caryophanales; Staphylococcaceae. The record is from RNAcentral.
GAGGAGCUUGCUCCUUUGACGUUAGCGGCGGACGGGUGAGUAACACGUAGGUAACCUACCUAUAAGACUGGGAUAACUUCGGGAAACCGGAGCUAAUACCGGAUAAUAUUUCGAACCGCAUGGUUCAAUAGUGAAAGAUGGCUUUGCUAUCACUUAUAGAUGGACCUGCGCCGUAUUAGCUAGUUGGUAAGGUAACGGCUUACCAAGGCAACGAUACGUAGCCGACCUGAGAGGGUGAUCGGCCACACUGGAACUGAGACACGGUCCAGACUCCUACGGGAGGCAGCAGUAGGGAAUCUUCCGCAAUGGGCGAAAGCCUGACGGAGCAACGCCGCGUGAGUGAUGAAGGUCUUCGGAUCGUAAAACUCUGUUAUUAGGGAAGAA